RNAcentral lists this ribosomal RNA (467 nucleotides) under uncultured bacterium. RNAcentral describes it as "partial 16S ribosomal RNA". It matches the Rfam family "Bacterial small subunit ribosomal RNA", at positions 28 to 507 of the family's 1533-position model. The record is from RNAcentral.
GAUGAACGCUGGCGGCGUGCUUAACACAUGCAAGUCGAACGGAAAGGCUCCUGCUUGCAGGGGUACUCGAGUGGCGAACGGGUGAGUAACACGUGGGUGAUCUGCCCUGCACUUCGGGAUAAGCCUGGGAAACUGGGUCUAAUACCGGAUAGGACCACAUUUUGGAUGGUGUGGUGGAAAGUUUUUCGGUGUGGGAUGAGCUCGCGGCCUAUCAGCUUGUUGGUGGGGUAAUGGCCUACCAAGGCGUCGACGGGUAGCCGGCCUGAGAGGGUGUACGGCCACAUUGGGACCGAGAUACGGCCCAGACUCCUACGGGAGGCAGCAGUGGGGAAUAUUGCACAAUGGGGGCCAGCCUGAUGCAGCGACGCCGGGUGGGGGAUGACGGCCUUCGGGUUGUAAACUCCUUUCGCUAGGGACGAAGCGUUUUUGUGACGGUACCUGGAGAAGAAGCACCGGCUAACUACGUG